GAUGAACGCUAGCGGCAGGCUUAACACAUGCAAGUCGAGGGGUAACGAUGGUGCUUGCAUCAGGCGACGACCGGCGAACGGGUGCGUAACGCGUAUAGAAUCUGCCUUGUACAGGAGGAUAGCCUUUAGAAAUGAAGAUUAAUACUCCAUAAUGUAUUGUAAUGGCAUCAUUAUAAUAUUAAAGAUUUAUUGGUACAAGAUGACUAUGCGUCCUAUUAGUUAGUUGGUAAGGUAAUGGCUUACCAAGGCGGCGAUAGGUAGGGGGUCUGAGAGGAUUAUCCCCCACACUGGUACUGAGACACGGACCAGACUCCUACGGGAGGCAGCAGUGAGGAAUAUUGGACAAUGGGCGGAAGCCUGAUCCAGCCAUGCCGCGUGCAGGAAGACUGCCCUAUGGGUUGUAAACUGCUUUUAUACAGGAAGAAACACCAAUACGUGUAUUGGCUUGACGGUACUGUAAGAAUAAGCACCGGCUAACUCCGUGCCAGCAGCCGCGGUAAUACGGAGGGUGCAAGCGUUAUCCGGAAUCAUUGGGUUUAAAGGGUCCGCAGGCGGUCGAUUAAGUCAGAGGUGAAAUCCCAUAGCUUCACUAUGGAACUGCCUUUGAUACUGGUUGACUUGAGUCAUAUGGAAGUAGAUAGAAUAAGUAGUGUAGCGGUGAAAUGCAUAGAUAUUACUUAGAAUACCGAUUGCGAAGGCAGUCUACUACGUAUGUACUGACGCUCAUGGACGAAAGCGUGGGGAGCGAACAGG
This 753-nucleotide ribosomal RNA is filed under the name uncultured bacterium. RNAcentral describes it as "bacterial SSU rRNA". It matches the Rfam family "Bacterial small subunit ribosomal RNA", at positions 28 to 776 of the family's 1533-position model. The record is from RNAcentral.